This is a long non-coding RNA of Serinus canaria (Common canary), 1587 nucleotides long. RefSeq lists it as uncharacterized. The record is from RefSeq and is a predicted model, not a curated record. The transcript has 2 exons. NCBI's taxonomy places the organism in Eukaryota, Metazoa, Chordata, Aves, Passeriformes, Fringillidae.
GGAGGAAACACAAGGACAUGGGGAGGCUGUGUCCUGCAUGGACACCCUGAAGCCCUGGUGCCAGACAAGAAAGGAACUGCUACACCCUGGGCAAGGCCAAGGGCUGGAGGAAGUCACCUUGCUGGAGAAGAGUGAGGCCAGCACAAGCCAAGCUCCCCUAAGGGCUCUCACUCCAGCCAGCUGAUGCAGGCCCUUCCCAAAGCAAGUACUUGACUUCCCAACUCCCAUUUUCUCCUGCUGGAGGGAGCACUCAUUUCAAAGGAGUUCCUAUAUUAAGCAAACCUUGCAGGGGAAGGAUAUUGAACCUGUAACCCAGCCAGACCACGACCCUUGAGCUACCACACAGACCUCAACCACAUAAACUGGAAGGGUAACCACUAUGGCACAAGAUUUUAGGCCAAAACCAAGAUGUGGUGAUGGCAAUUUAAUUUUUCUAGAGGCUCAGAUGCAAAAGUAUCAGAGGCUGAAGGCAACUGCUGAGAGGCUCUGCCUGGGAAUGGGGCUGGCAGGGCUCCUCUUCCCCCCUGCAUGUGCUUGGAGUGGGAAUUGUUUAUAAUCACAGACUGAGACAAAAAGAUGAGGUCUGGAAUCAUCUUUGAGCAUUUUAUUUUGCACAACCCAAAUGUGGGUUGGGUUUUGGUGUUUUUUUUUUUUUUUUUUUUGUGAGUUGUUUUGUUUUUUUUUUUUUUUUUUUGGUUUGUUGUUGUUGUUUUUGUUAUGUUUUAAUAAAAUGCCACUCGGAAUAAAAAGUUGUCUGGAAAACACCAGCUCCACUAGUGCCAAAACUGCCCGCCCUCUGUGCUGGUGCAUGAAAUGUGUUGGAAAAUAUUUUUAUUGGCUGAUGGAGCUUCUCAGAGCCUGGUUCUUCUCUCUCAACACGAGCCCUCAAUCAGCCACAAACACCGCAGGGCACCCCAGCAGGGCACUCCAGCAGAGCCUCCCUUGCGCAGGGUCCGUGCCAGGACCUCAUCCCAGCUCAGCCUUUGCCAUGAAUUUGACUUUUAGCGAAAGUCAGGGGGGCAAGGCCGCAUUACGAGUGAGGACUCGCGGCUGGUUCCGAGUUACUGAGUAAUCCCAGCCGGUCAUAAAUUAAACCGCUUUACCCCCCGCGAGUGCUCGCGGCUUCUGUUCCUCCUGCUCGGGGCAUGCGGGAACGCGGCGGGGCCAGCGGAGCGCGAAGGGGGGAGAGGACUCGACAGGGAGCUCCGGGCUGGGGACAGGCUCACUCCAAAGGAAUGGGGGGUGCUGCAGCACACCCUGGUGUGGUAUGGGCUUGAAUCUGGGGAUGCUGCAAUUCCUCUGGAUACCCUGGGAACACAGACAAGGCACUGCUGUAACUACCAAGAGCUGCUCUGCAUGUGGGCUGAGCAUCUCCUGCAGAGCCCCCAGCCAGGAGUUUGAAUUCUCACAAAUUAACCCCUCCAGCCCUGCUCCAGAAUGAGCUGGCACAUUCCCAGCUGCUUUCACUGACCAGCUGCCGUCUGGGGGGCUGUGUCACAGAAAUGGUUGGACUGGGGGGAAAGCAUGAGAUGUUUGGCCUGAAAUAUGGAUUUAUCUCUGGAAUUAAACCUUGAAAUGCCCCAAUUA